RNAcentral lists this ribosomal RNA (483 nucleotides) under Enterobacter sp. YC109A. Its description in RNAcentral is "bacterial SSU rRNA". It matches the Rfam family "Bacterial small subunit ribosomal RNA", at positions 39 to 516 of the family's 1533-position model. The record is from RNAcentral. Lineage: Bacteria; Pseudomonadati; Pseudomonadota; Gammaproteobacteria; Enterobacterales; Enterobacteriaceae.
GGGGACGGAGCUACCAUGCAGUCGAGCGGUAACACAGGGAGCUUGCUCCCGGGUGACGAGCGGCGGACGGGUGAGUAAUGUCUGGGAAACUGCCUGAUGGAGGGGGAUAACUACUGGAAACGGUAGCUAAUACCGCAUAACGUCGCAAGACCAAAGAGGGGGACCUUCGGGCCUCUUGCCAUCAGAUGUGCCCAGAUGGGAUUAGCUAGUAGGUGGGGUAACGGCUCACCUAGGCGACGAUCCCUAGCUGGUCUGAGAGGAUGACCAGCCACACUGGAACUGAGACACGGUCCAGACUCCUACGGGAGGCAGCAGUGGGGAAUAUUGCACAAUGGGCGCAAGCCUGAUGCAGCCAUGCCGCGUGUAUGAAGAAGGCCUUCGGGUUGUAAAGUACUUUCAGCGGGGAGGAAGGUGUUGAGGUUAAUAACCUCAGCAAUUGACGUUACCCGCAGAAGAAGCACCGGCUAACUCCGUGCCACCGCG